This 730-nucleotide ribosomal RNA is filed under the name uncultured Bacilli bacterium. Its description in RNAcentral is "bacterial SSU rRNA". It matches the Rfam family "Bacterial small subunit ribosomal RNA", at positions 47 to 750 of the family's 1533-position model. Lineage: Bacteria; Bacillati; Bacillota; Bacilli. The record is from RNAcentral.
CCUAAUACAUGCAAGUCGCCGCUUUUUCUUUCACCGGAGCUUGCUCCACCGAAAGAAAAGGAGUGGCGAACGGGUGAGUAACACGUGGGUAACCUGCCCAUCAGAAGGGGAUAACACUUGGAAACAGGUGCUAAUACCGUAUAACAAUCGAAACCGCAUGGUUUCGGUUUGAAAGGCGCUUUUGCGUCACUGAUGGAUGGACCCGCGGUGCAUUAGCUAGUUGGUGAGGUAACGGCUCACCAAGGCAACGAUGCAUAGCCGACCUGAGAGGGUGAUCGGCCACAUUGGGACUGAGACACGGCCCAAACUCCUACGGGAGGCAGCAGUAGGGAAUCUUCGGCAAUGGACGGAAGUCUGACCGAGCAACGCCGCGUGAGUGAAGAAGGUUUUCGGAUCGUAAAACUCUGUUGUUAGAGAAGAACAAGGAUGAGAGUAGAAUGUUCAUCCCUUGACGGUAUCUAACCAGAAAGCCACGGCUAACUACGUGCCAGCAGCCGCGGUAAUACGUAGGUGGCAAGCGUUGUCCGGAUUUAUUGGGCGUAAAGCGAGCGCAGGCGGUUUCUUAAGUCUGAUGUGAAAGCCCCCGGCUCAACCGGGGAGGGUCAUUGGAAACUGGGAAACUUGAGUGCAGAAGAGGAGAGUGGAAUUCCAUGUGUAGCGGUGAAAUGCGUAGAUAUAUGGAGGAACACCAGUGGCGAAGGCGGCUCUCUGGUCUGUAACUGACGCUGAG